AGAGUUUGAUCCUGGCUCAGGAUGAACGCUAGCGGCAGGCCUAAUACAUGCAAGUCGAACGAGAUUAGUAGCAAUACUAUGAAAGUGGCGCACGGGUGCGUAACACGUAUGCAAUCUACCUUUAAUUGGAGCAUAGCCUCGAGAAAUCGGGAUUAAUACUCCAUAACAUUAUGAAAUGGCAUCAUUUUAUAAUUAAACCUCCGGGGAUUAAAGAUGAGCAUGCGCAACAUUAGCUAGUUGGUAAGGUAAUGGCUUACCAAGGCUACGAUGUUUAGGGGGUCUGAGAGGAUGAUCCCCCACACUGGUACUGAGACACGGACCAGACUCCUACGGGAGGCAGCAGUAGGGAAUAUUGGGCAAUGGAGGAAACUCUGACCCAGCCAUGCCGCGUGCAGGAUGACGGCCCUCUGGGUUGUAAACUGCUUUUAUACGGGAAGAAAAAAUGCUACGUGUAGCACAUUGACGGUACCGUAAGAAUAAGGAUCGGCUAACUCCGUGCCAGCAGCCGCGGUAAUACGGAGGAUCCAAGCGUUGUCCGGAUUUAUUGGGUUUAAAGGGUGCGUAGGCGGAUUUUUAAGUCAGUGGUGAAAGCCUGCAGCUCAACUGUAGAACAGCCAUUGAAACUGAAGAUCUUGAAUAUGGUUAAAGUAGGCGGAAUGUAUCAUGUAGCGGUGAAAUGCUUAGAUAUGAUACAGAACACCGAUAGCGAAGGCAGCUUGCUGAACCAUUAUUGACGCUGAGGCACGAAAGCGUGGGGAGCAAACAGGAUUAGAUACCCUGGUAGUCCACGCCCUAAACGUUGAUUACUCGUUGUUGGCGAUAUACUGUCAGCGACUAAGCUAAAGCGUUAAGUAAUCCACCUGGGAAGUACGACCGCAAGGUUGAAACUCAAAGGAAUUGACGGGGGCCCGCACAAGCGGAGGAGCAUGUGGUUUAAUUCGAUGAUACGCGAGGAACCUUACCUGGGCUUGAAAGUUAGUGACCGCCUCUGAAAGGAGGCUUCUCUUCGGAGCACAAAACUAGGUGCUGCAUGGCUGUCGUCAGCUCGUGCCGUGAGGUGUUGGGUUAAGUCCCGCAACGAGCGCAACCCCUUUCUUUAGUUGCCAUCAGGUUAUGCUGGGGACUCUAAAGAUACUGCCUAUGUAAAUAGUGAGGAAGGUGGGGACGACGUCAAGUCAUCAUGGCCCUUACGUCCAGGGCUACACACGUGCUACAAUGGCAGUCACAGAUGGAAGCUACUUAGUGAUAAGAUGCUAAUCCCAAAAAGAUUGUCUCAGUUCGGAUUGAAGUCUGCAACUCGACUUCAUGAAGCUGGAUUCGCUAGUAAUCGCAUAUCAGCAAUGAUGCGGUGAAUACGUUCCCGGGCCUUGUACACACCGCCCGUCAAGCCAUGGAAGAUGGGAGUACCUAAAGUCGAUAACCGCAAGGAGUCGCCUAGGGUAAUACCGUUGACUGGGGCUAAGUCGUAACAAGGUAGCCGUACCGGAAGGUGUGGCUG
This 1498-nucleotide ribosomal RNA is filed under the name metagenome. Its description in RNAcentral is "bacterial SSU rRNA". It matches the Rfam family "Bacterial small subunit ribosomal RNA". The record is from RNAcentral.